UCGGCGGUGAAGGCCAUUCCUGGUGUCGUCGGAUCAUAGGUAACUAAUCCUACGAAAGGAUUAUAAGCCUUUCUCACCAGCAGAUUCUGGAAUAAAAUUUCCUUUUAUAGGAUUACUACUUCUAGAACCCAUGAAAACUUCGAUCAUAUACGAUCUCCGACGCAACAACAAUUGAAAUUAAAGCCGACGAUGGAUCGUCGGCAACUAGAGACAACGGUGACAGAGAGCGAGGAUUGAAUACUGAUGUGGCUUUUACAAGACGACAUUAGGGUUGUUCUUGAACAUAGACGAUGCAAAUUGGGGGCUGGGUAACUUGAAUUUUCUGUUAAUAUAUUUCAAUGUAUCUUAUUGUAUUUUAUUAUAUUCAUUGUCUGUUUUUUUCAAUGUAUUUCAACAUAUCUUGUUGUAUUACAUAUAUUUC
This 421-nucleotide long non-coding RNA is filed under the name Nicotiana benthamiana. RNAcentral describes it as "long non-coding RNA (NBEN_LNC020256)". The record is from RNAcentral. Lineage: Eukaryota; Viridiplantae; Streptophyta; Magnoliopsida; Solanales; Solanaceae.